GGGCGGGUGGCGGAACGGCAGACGCGCACGGUUCAGGUCCGUGUGUCCGAAAGGACGUGAGGGUUCAAAUCCCUCCUCGCCCACC
Molecule: transfer RNA, 85 nt
Filed under: Nonomuraea ferruginea
Lineage: Bacteria; Bacillati; Actinomycetota; Actinomycetes; Streptosporangiales; Streptosporangiaceae
Also listed under: 5 other names
Description: tRNA-Leu
Rfam family: tRNA
About the family: Transfer RNA (tRNA) molecules are approximately 80 nucleotides in length. Their secondary structure includes four short double-helical elements and three loops (D, anti-codon, and T loops).
Source: RNAcentral